GUAGUUUCAAUUUAGGGUUUAUGUAAUGACCUAAUGUUAGUUGCUUUAAAUUGUGGUUAUAAGCAUUCUUUGUCGAUGUCGAAUUGUGCGUAUUGGCAGUGUUUUAGAUGUUUUGAUAUAACACGCGUUUGAAGUCAUUUGGAUAUUGAAACCUUUUUUGAGAUAGAAAGCGGAUCUUUUGGAAGUAAUGAUUAUAAUGGUGGAGGUACAAGACACGUUACUUUUUUUGAGGAUGUAUAUGAUUGGAUGAACUUUGUUGAGUGAGUUUUUGCAUCUUUUUAGUUGUAGCAAAGGACUAGGCGUUUGAAGUCAAUUGGAUAUUGGAACCUUUUUUGAGAUAGAAAGCGGAUCUUUUGGAAGUAAUGAUUAUAAUGGUGGAGGUACAAGAAACGUUACUUAUUUUGAGGUUUAGUUAUAUGUAUAUGAUUGGAUGAACUUUGUUGAGUGAGUUUUUGAAUCUUUUUAGUUGUAGCAAAGGACUAGGCUUGCACACUUUCUUUUCAGUUCGCACUUCAGCUGUUGUGUAUGAGAUUUGGAACUUGCCAUUCUUGCAUGGACUACGAGUCUGCGAUGCCUUUCUUUCUUUGUAGUUAAAUUAAGUCAUAAAAAGUUUGCAUAUUU
This 621-nucleotide long non-coding RNA is filed under the name Daucus carota (carrot). Its description in RNAcentral is "long non-coding RNA (DCAR_LNC001723)". Lineage: Eukaryota; Viridiplantae; Streptophyta; Magnoliopsida; Apiales; Apiaceae. The record is from RNAcentral.